Molecule: ribosomal RNA, 468 nt
Filed under: uncultured bacterium
Lineage: Bacteria
Description: partial 16S ribosomal RNA
Rfam family: Bacterial small subunit ribosomal RNA
Source: RNAcentral
GACGAACGCUGGCGGCGUGCUUAACACAUGCAAGUCGAACGGAAAGGCCCUGCUUUUGUGGGGUUCUCGAGUGGCGAACGGGUGAGUAACACGUGAGUAACCUGCCCUUGACUUUGGGAUAACUUCAGGAAACUGGGGCUAAUACCGGAUAGGAGCUCCUGCUGCAUGGUGGGGGUUGGAAAGUUUCGGCGGUAGGGGAUGGACGCGCGGCUUAUCAGCUUGUUGGUUGGGUAGUGGCUUACCAAGGCUUUGACGGGUAGCCGGCCUGAGAGGGUGAACGGCGUCAAUGGGACUGAGAUACGGCGCAGACGCCUACGGGAGGCAGCAGUGGGGAAUAUUGCACAGUGGGCGGAAGCCUGAUGCAGCAACGCCGGGUGCGGGAAGACGGCCUUCGGGUUGUGAACCGCUUUCGCCUGUGACGAAGCGUGAGUGACGGUAAUGGGUAAAGAAGCACCGGCUAACUACGUG